RNAcentral lists this non-coding RNA (23 nucleotides) under Cricetulus griseus (Chinese hamster). Lineage: Eukaryota; Metazoa; Chordata; Mammalia; Rodentia; Cricetidae. The record is from RNAcentral.
AGAUUCCUCGCUGGUUCUUCUGG